This 327-nucleotide ribosomal RNA is filed under the name uncultured Bacteroidota bacterium. Its description in RNAcentral is "bacterial SSU rRNA". It matches the Rfam family "Bacterial small subunit ribosomal RNA", at positions 28 to 351 of the family's 1533-position model. The record is from RNAcentral. Lineage: Bacteria; Pseudomonadati; Bacteroidota.
GAUGAACGCUAGCGGCAGGCUUAACACAUGCAAGUCGAGGGGCAGCGCGAUGUAGCAAUACAUUGGCGGCGACCGGCGCACGGGUGCGUAACACGUAUGGAACUUACCCUUUACUGGGAGAUAGCCCGGAGAAAUCCGGAUUAAUAUCCCAUAAUAAACGAGGUGGCAUCACUUUGUUUUGAAAGCUCCGGCGGUAAAGGAUGGCCAUGCGCACGAUUAGCUAGUAGGUGAGGUAACGGCUCACCUAGGCUACGAUCGUUAGGGGGCCUGAGAGGGUUAUCCCCCACACUGGUACUGAGACACGGACCAGACUCCUACGGGAGGCAG